CGUGUGUGUGUGUGUGUGCACGUGCGCACAUGCGCACACGCGCACACACGUGCGCACACACACACACACACC
This 72-nucleotide microRNA precursor is filed under the name Podarcis lilfordi (Lilford's wall lizard). Lineage: Eukaryota; Metazoa; Chordata; Lepidosauria; Squamata; Lacertidae. The record is from RNAcentral.